UCGAGGAUCAUUCGCAAUGGGCGAAAGCCUGACGAUGCGACGCCGUGUGAGCGAUGAAGGCCUUCGGGUUGUAAAGCUCUUUCGCAUAAGAACAAGAGAAGAGGAUGAACAAUUCUCUGAUUUGAGGGUACUAUGUAAAGAAGCACCGGCUAACUCCGUGCCAGCAGCUGCGGUAAUACGGAGGGUGCAAGCAUUAAUCGGAAUUAUUGGGCGUAAAGGGCGCGUAGGCGGAAUAACAAGUCAGAUGUGAAAUUCCGGGGCUCAACCUCGGAACUGCAUUUGAAACUGUUAAUCUAGAGGGUUGGCGGAGAAAAUGGAAUUCCACGUGUAGCGGUGAAAUGCGUAGAUAUGUGGAAGAACACCUGUGGCGAAAGCGGUUUUCUGGCUAACACCUGACGCUGAGGCGCGAGAGCAAGGGGAGCAAACAGGAUUAGAUACCCGCGUAGUCC
RNAcentral lists this ribosomal RNA (449 nucleotides) under uncultured bacterium. RNAcentral's name for it is "bacterial SSU rRNA". It matches the Rfam family "Bacterial small subunit ribosomal RNA", at positions 355 to 796 of the family's 1533-position model. The record is from RNAcentral.